CACACACACACACACACAUCCCAUCUCUGGCUCUGAGAGUCAGUCUCUGGGGGGCAAGGGGCUGAUCCUCUGCCUGCCCCUGCCUGCCCUUUUAUGACAGCACCAAGGGCGGGGGUGGGGGCAGGGCCCUCAGCCCCCAGAACAAGUCCCUGUGCAAACUGGAGGUGCCAGCUGGCUUUAGGAUGGGUGUCACAUUUCCCCAUUCCUGGAGUCCCUUCCUCCAGUUCCUGAGGGAGGGACUAUUCUCUGCCUACCUGGGGGGCCAGACCCUGCCAGGGCUGGGCCCUGUGGAACCCAGUCUUACCCCCCCACCUGACCCUGCCAGGACCUCCAGCCUGAAGAAUAGCCAAGUCUGAGGUUGUGGGGAUCCCCCACUGGAGAGCAGGAAGGCCUGGGCCCAGAGGCAUCUGGGGAGGGGUCAUCACCCCCUCUCCUAAUCCAUCUUCAAUAUGAAGAGGUUUGGGGCACACUUCCUGGGGAGGGAGCACAGGCCUGGAGAAGUCCUAGCAUGGGCCUUCCCCAAACUUCCAUCUUCUGGGCCACAGCCUAAGGCCAGGCAUCCAAAAGUCCAAAAGUCCAGCUGACCAGUUGGAGUCCCUGCGCAGUCCUGGGGGGGGGCACCCCCAGUAGGAGCUGGGUGUCAGACCUGCACAGGCAGUGUCUGGUUCAUCUGCAGCCGCAUGUCCUGAAUACUGCUGAGAAUCUUCUUCUGGUGGCCAGCCAGGGUG
RNAcentral lists this long non-coding RNA (728 nucleotides) under Marmota monax (woodchuck). The record is from RNAcentral. Lineage: Eukaryota; Metazoa; Chordata; Mammalia; Rodentia; Sciuridae.